RNAcentral lists this transfer RNA (151 nucleotides) under Hortaea werneckii EXF-2000. It matches the Rfam family "tRNA". From Rfam's summary of the family: Transfer RNA (tRNA) molecules are approximately 80 nucleotides in length. Their secondary structure includes four short double-helical elements and three loops (D, anti-codon, and T loops). Lineage: Eukaryota; Fungi; Ascomycota; Dothideomycetes; Mycosphaerellales; Teratosphaeriaceae. The record is from Rfam by way of RNAcentral.
GGGGUUGUAGCUCAGUGGUAGAGCGCGUAUGUUCCUCUGCGGUUCCCAAGUUGAUCUUUACAAUACUAAUUGCUCGCCAGCCGCUUUGCAUGGACGAUCAUUCGUUUCAGCCGAUUGCGGGAGGUCUUGGGUUCAAUCCCCAACAGCUCCA